GCUUCGGGUUGUAAACCUCUUUCAGUAGGGAAGAAGCUGGCCUUUGGGUUGGUGACGGUACCUGCAGAAGAAGCGCCGGCUAACUACGUGCCAGCAGCCGCGGUAAUACGUAGGGCGCAAGCGUUAUCCGGAAUUAUUGGGCGUAAAGAGCUCGUAGGCGGUUUGUCGCGUCUGCCGUGAAAGUCCGGGGCUUAACUCCGGAUCUGCGGUGGGUACGGGCAGACUAGAGUGCAGUAGGGGAGACUGGAAUUCCUGGUGUAGCGGUGAAAUGCGCAGAUAUCAGGAGGAACACCGAUGGCGAAGGCAGGUCUCUGGGCUGUAACUGACGCUGAGGAGCGAAAGCAUGGGGAGCGAACAGGAUUAGAUACCCUGGUAGUCCAUGCCGUAAACGUUGGGCACUAGGUGUGGGGGACAUUCCACGUUUUCCGCGCCGUAGCUAACGCAUUAAGUGCCCCGCCUGGGGAGUACGGCCGCAAGGCUAAAACUCAAAGGAAUUGACGGGGGCCCGCACAAGCGGCGGAGCAUGCGGAUUAAUUCGAUGCAACGCGAAGAACCUUACCAAGGCUUGACAUGAACCGGAAUGAUGCAGAGAUGUGUCAGCCACUUGUGGCCGGUUUACAGGUGGUGCAUGGUUGUCGUCAGCUCGUGUCGUGAGAUGUUGGGUUAAGUCCCGCAACGAGCGCAACCCUCGUUCCAUGUUGCCAGCGGGUUAUGCCGGGGACUCAUGGGAGACUGCCGGGGUCAACUCGGAGGAAGGUGGGGACGACGUCAAAUCAUCAUGCCCCUUAUGUCUUGGGCUUCACGCAUGCUACAAUGGCCGGUACAAAGGGUUGCGAUACUGUGAGGUGGAGCUAAUCCCAAAAAGCCGGUCUCAGUUCGGAUUGAGGUCUGCAACUCGACCUCAUGAAGUUGGAGUCGCUAGUAAUCGCAGAUCAGCAACGCUGCGGUGAAUACGUUCCCGGGCCUUGUACACACCUUCCCGUCAAGUCACGA
RNAcentral lists this ribosomal RNA (993 nucleotides) under Arthrobacter bussei. Its description in RNAcentral is "bacterial SSU rRNA". It matches the Rfam family "Bacterial small subunit ribosomal RNA", at positions 415 to 1407 of the family's 1533-position model. Lineage: Bacteria; Bacillati; Actinomycetota; Actinomycetes; Micrococcales; Micrococcaceae. The record is from RNAcentral.